UCCCUCUUAGCUCAGUUGGUAGAGCGCGUCACUAGUAUCCCACCACAAUCCAAAUGCUCAUGACGAGGUCAGUCGUUCAAAUCGGCUAGCGGGAA
Molecule: non-coding RNA, 95 nt
Organism: Mycena galericulata
Lineage: Eukaryota; Fungi; Basidiomycota; Agaricomycetes; Agaricales; Mycenaceae
Source: the annotation of a GenBank genome assembly